This 438-nucleotide ribosomal RNA is filed under the name uncultured bacterium. Its description in RNAcentral is "bacterial SSU rRNA". It matches the Rfam family "Bacterial small subunit ribosomal RNA", at positions 76 to 507 of the family's 1533-position model. The record is from RNAcentral.
UGCUUCGGUAACUGAGCUAGCGGCGGACGGGUGAGUAAAGCUUAGGAAUCUGCCUAUUAGUGGGGGACAACAUUUCGAAAGGGAUGCUAAUACCGCAUACGUCCUACGGGAGAAAGCAGGGGAUCACUUGUGACCUUGCGCUAAUAGAUGAGCCUAAGUCGGAUUAGCUAGUUGGGGGGGUAAAGGCCUACCAAGGCGACAAUCUGUAGCGGGUCUGAAAGGAUGAUCCGCCACACUGGGACUGAAACACGGCCCAAACUCCUACGGGAGGCAGCAGUGGGGAAUAUUGGACAAUGGGGGGAACCCUGAUCCAGCCAUGCCGCGUGUGUGAAGAAGGCCUUUUGGUUGUAAAGCACUUUAAGUGGGGAGGAGGCUCUCUUGGUUAAUACCUGAGAGGAGUGGACGUUACCCACAGAAUAAGCACCGGCUAACUCUGUG